CCUACGGGCGGCAGCAGUGGGGAAUAUUGCGCAAUGGGCGAAAGCCUGACGCAGCGACGCCGCGUGAGGGAUGAAGGUCUUCGGAUCGUUAACCUCUGUCAGCAGGGAAGAACGGUCACUGUGCUAAUCAGCAGUGAAUUGACGGUACCUGCAAAGGAAGCACCGGCUAACUCCGUGCCAGCAGCCGCGGUAAUACGGAGGGUGCGAGCGUUAAUCGGAAUUACUGGGCGUAAAGCGCUCGUAGGCGGUAUGUCAAGUCAAGGGUGAAAUCUCCGCGCUCAACGUGGGAACUGCCGUUGAAACUGGCGAACUGGAGUGUGCGAGAGGAUAGUGGAAUUCGAGGUGUAGGGGUGAAAUCCGUAGAUAUGUGGAAGAACACCAGUGGCGAAGGCGACUAGCUGGCACAGAACUGACGCUGAGGAGCGAAAGCGUGGGUAGCAAACAGGAUUAGAUACCCCUGUAGUC
This 465-nucleotide ribosomal RNA is filed under the name uncultured bacterium. Its description in RNAcentral is "partial 16S ribosomal RNA". It matches the Rfam family "Bacterial small subunit ribosomal RNA", at positions 338 to 795 of the family's 1533-position model. The record is from RNAcentral.